Molecule: non-coding RNA, 262 nt
Organism: Callorhinus ursinus (northern fur seal)
Lineage: Eukaryota; Metazoa; Chordata; Mammalia; Carnivora; Otariidae
Source: RefSeq, a predicted model, not a curated record
UGUGUGUCUCUCAAGAAAGUAGCCAGAACAAAGAGUAUACAGCAAACAGCUCCUGAGGGAGAUCACACCUUUCACAUCCCUGAUUAGGUAUUUCAAAUGAGACAAAAUUUGGAAGAUGUCAAUGAAGAGAUCCAGAGUACUUGGUAUGAAUAAUGUACAGUCUUCCAAGCUUGCCAAAGUUUCAACCCAAAGUGAGUGUCUGUAAGACUCUGAACCCCUGGGGCCCUGAAGGUACGAAGGACAGAUGGGUCUCUGGCCCUUG